Molecule: microRNA precursor, 64 nt
Filed under: Sorex araneus (European shrew)
Lineage: Eukaryota; Metazoa; Chordata; Mammalia; Eulipotyphla; Soricidae
Description: miRNA (ENSSARG00000018730.1)
Source: RNAcentral
GCGGGCAGAGCCGGGGGGCGCGUGCCGCCGCGGGGCGGGGGCCGGGGCCGAGCUGGCCGGGGCC